RNAcentral lists this non-coding RNA (255 nucleotides) under Desulforamulus ferrireducens. Its description in RNAcentral is "Desulfotomaculum ferrireducens T-box sequence". It matches the Rfam family "T-box leader". Rfam says of the family: Uncharged tRNA acts as the effector for transcription antitermination of genes in the T-box leader family. Lineage: Bacteria; Bacillati; Bacillota; Clostridia; Eubacteriales; Peptococcaceae. The record is from RNAcentral.
UGGCAAGCGAUGACAGGGAGCAGUACGUGGAAUGUUUCUUUCCAGGGAGAAAGGGCCGUGACUGGAAGCCCUUUUAAAGAAAAUCUACGGAAGAUUCACCCUGGAGCUGCGAUCUGAACGUAUGUUUUGCAUACCAGUAGGUGCGCCGGUUCUUCUACCGUUACCAGAAGCGGGUAAGUUUUGCUUGCCCACUGAGUGGUUCUUGCAAUUAAUGAGAACAAUUUGGGUGGUACCACGGCAACGUCCGUCCCUGCU